GGGUUUGUAACUUCAGAAUUAACGGCAGAAGUUUAUGUGUUUUAAUGUACAGAUGGCAAAAUUUGAGUGGAGAUGUACUACCAUGUAAUGAUUCGGCCUAACCAAUUCUCCAUUUAAAUUGAUUGUACCUAUCCUUGUGGGAUAAUAAAAAUGGAAGAUCAAGGAUUUACAAAAAACGAGAUUUAUAAAAAAAAGAUUGGUUAGCGGAGAAGAAAAAGGGGGGGGGGGUCGAACUAGGUGUAUGUAAUCUAAUCGCUAUAAGACAACUCUUGUCCAUGUUUCGAAGAAUGGAUUCUUGAAUCCCAUUGAGUCUAAGAUACAAUAUUUGGUUUACGGUAUGGGGGAAAGGCAUGUACAUGUGAUAUUAGAUAUUAACUAGGUAUAUAUGAACGAAAGAUAUAUCUAAUUUGUCCUAAUUUAGAUAGGGAUUCCAAUGGAAGUCCUUCCGUUUUGUUUGUAAUUGUGAAUUGAAUAUUGAAUGAAUUUAAAUCACGAAAAAGAACAAAUAAUGGUUCGAAAAAAAAAAAAAUGAAAUGUAAGAAAAGAAUAAAAGUCGUACAGAUUCACAAAAACUCCGUGGGUAGGAACUCAAAAAGAGAUAUCGCAGUCGUUCUGCGGAUUCAAUAAUAUUAUUAAUUAUUAUUUCAAUAUUGAAAUAUUGAAAUUCGGGGUUCUAGUUAGUUUAACUGGAUUGAUCUUAGCGACGGAAUAAUUAAGUCAUAAUUCAUUGGUUGAUUGUAUCAUUAACUAUAUUUUUUUUUUUGGGGUGUGAGGAACUUAACAUGAAUCCAUUGAUUUAUGCCGCUUCCGUUAUUGCUACUGGGUUGGCUGUCGGGCUUGCUUCUAUUGGACCUGGGGUUGGUCAAGGUACUGUUGCGGGACAGGCUGUAGAAGGGAUCGCGAGACAACCAGAGGCGGAGGGAAAAAUCCGAGGUACUUUAUUGCUUAGUCUAGCUUUUAUGGAAGCUUUAACAAUUUAUGGACUGGUUGUCGCAUUAGCUCUUUUAUUUGCGAAUCCCUUUGUUUAAUCCAAAAAUACAUAUUUCUAUUUUCUUGGAUUUGCUGCUCUUGUUUUUUCGCAUUAUAUUAAGAUUUAACUCCUACAAUUAAAUUACUUAGGGACAACAACCCCCGGAAAGAGCUGAUUUGAGGAUGAGGAAUUCGCACUCCAACCCGCUUUCUUCCUUUACCUUCUUCCACUCAGUAAAGCCAACUGGUGGUACUGUAUCACAAUGAAAAAUAAUAGCCACUUAUACUACGGUUUUUAAAAUUAACAUAACUCCUCAUUUUAGUUUUUGAAAUUUAAAAUCGAUGAAAAUGGUUCUAAUUUGUUCACAUCAAUUAUUUUGUUAAAAAAUCUCCGUUGAAUAAAAAUAAAAUGACAUAAAUACCCUUUAUUUUUGUCAAUAAUUUUAGGCAUUGAAUAGAUUAAGGGUAAGUUUGUCAUUUAGACUAACAUUGUUCUUUAAUACUGUGGCUAAAUUUUAAGGAUGGAAGAAGAAAAAUUAUUUUUGGUUUAGAACCUAAAAUUUUUAGACAAAAUUUAAGUUUCAAUUCUAACCAUUAAUGUUGGUCUAAAUAGUACUUGUUGGGAGAGGAGAUCAGUACAAAUCUAACUUGUGUGCAUAAAUAUGAUUGUUUUCUGCCGCUACAACCAUCUACAACUUUAGAGCCAAUUUUUUUUCUUUCUUGGAGAAUAGAUUUGUCAUGUGAUGACAUGUGAUGAACUUAAAAAAUCUGGAGUAUCAUGUGUGUUCCGUGAGCACCAAGAUUUAAAAAAACGUUAGGCGCUAGUUGGGCCGCGGACAAGGGUCUAGCGCCUAGGCCGAUAGAAUGGCCUAGACGGAUUUAUGUAAAUCUAUGGUAUAUCUUGUAAAUACGUGACUAUUUAAUCUUAAAAAAAAAAAAAACUAGACUUGUAUGGAUAAUAAAAAAAAUGAUAAAAUGCAAAAAUAGAAGUAGAAUAAUACACAAAGUAUGUACAUCUAACAAGUUCAAUAUGUAAAAAACAGUAAGCACGUAAUUAUGAUAAGCAGUAUUAUUGGAUGAUAGACUAAAUUCUUCUUGUUCAUGAUCCUUGCAUUGGAUUGGAUAUAGACUAAAUUAUUUAAUCUUGUUGUAUCUAGUUUGUUCUUGAUCCAUUUCCAUAGUAUACCACCAUGAAACAGAAAGAAAAAAAAACACAAAUAAUAAUAAUAAAAAAAAAACAAAUCGCCUAGGACCGCCUAUGCGCUGCUUAGGACCACCUAGCUCCAGACCAAUUUUUCAAAACAAUUUGCACUAAAUUGCGGCGGGCCUUCAUCGCCUAGGCCGGUUUUUAGAACACUAGUGAGCACACUAGAAAGUCCAUGCAUUGGUUUCAAUAUGGAGAAUUUCCAUUUUUUUACUAAAGUCAAAUUGAUUGAUAAGAGAAUUCUUUAAGACCAUCUUCAACCCUUGCGUUAAAACCUAACAUUUUUAGCCCAAAAAAUGUAGGUUUUAACCCAAAAACAGUUUUUUGCUCUAACCUUUAUGGGUUAAAAUUUUAGCCACAGAUCAUUAAAGAAUGAAUUUAAGUUAUUUUUAAAGUAAUUUUUUUAAAGAAAAAAUUAUGUAGACUAUCCUAUUUUAAUUUUAUGAAUAUUUUAAUCUAAAAAUAUUUAGAUUCCAACAAAUAUUGAAAAAUCACUAACCAACACCAAGAAACUCGUGAAAUACUAUGAAAUAAUAUGAAACACAUAAAAGAAAUAUAUAUAUACAAUGGACCAACCCCACUAACCCAGGGGAAUCUUGGGCUAAAUUUGGCCUGGAAAUGAGUUUUGAGUUCAUAUUUGCCCUAAAGGUUGAAGCAAGUUAAUAUAUGUUUAGAAUUUAAAAUUUGAUUUUUACUCUAAAUGUUGGAGUAGGUGUUUUUAAAAGAAGCAUUAAAAAAAAAUACUUUUCAAUAAUUAAAAACACUUUUUAAAAAUAUUUUUAAAUAAUUGUACGCAUUUACUGCUUCUUAAGGAAAAUAUUUGAAACAAAAACAUUUUCGGCAAGCGAUUUCAGCACUUAAAUAACUCUUCCGAAACAGAUUCUCUCUCACUGCUCGACAAAAGAAAUAGACUUUCUCCGACUCUCUCAGUUACUCUCUCUCGGCGAUGGAAUGAAGCCCUAGCUCUGCCACCUCCAACCUUUUCACCUCUCGAUGCAGCACCUUCCUUGCAUUUUUUAAUCGCCCUCCGAGUCGGAUCCGCCUCGUCCCCUUCACACUGUUCGUUCAUUGUAUAAACCUCGAUUCCUAUUUCAGUUUCUCUUCUUCGAGGCGCUUUUUUGCUUUUCGAAUUUUUACAAUUUUUUAUAUAUCAAUCAAUUUUUUCCAGGUUUACCGUUCCAGAGACUGCCCCUUUCGCUGCCGUGCUGAAAUUCGCUGCUAAGGAAUUCAAAGUAUGUAAUUUGCUAAUUGAUUAUUUGAGUAUUAUUUGAAAUUUGGGAUUGGUUGGUUUUUUUUAUCGGGCAUUGAUCAGAUUAGGGUUCUUGGUUUCUGGGAAGGGGAAAUCCUUUUUUAUAUUUCACAUUAUUAUACUUUCAGAAGUUUCUGCUUUUUCAUUUAUUGUUAAUAGAAUUAUUCUUUAUGCUUUGAGUGUGAAAAUAGAAGUCUGUAUCGAAACUCGAAGAGAAUUUGAAUAUUUGAUCAAUUUGGGGACAAAAGUUUUCUUCCAGCUUUUAGUUUUACAGCUAAUAAGUCAUUUUCCUAACUAUUUGUAUAUUUUGUGAUGAUUGUUGGCCUUAAUAUCGCAUAGUUGGUUUAUGGAGUAUUAACUAUAUUAGAAAAUAUUUACUAUUGGAAGCAUACGGGUUCUUGUGGGAUUUCGUAUAUUUAUUAAGGUUCCUAUGGAGAUUCCUGUGGAGUUAGCUUAAUGUGAAUGCCUCUAACUUACAUAUGGACAUUAUAUAAUUGUCAAUUAUUUAAAAAGUUGAGCAUCUGGUUGAAGUGUAAUAGAAAAAUUUUGAGGAUUAUAACAGAGUGGGAAUAGAUGAACUAUGGGAUAAAUUUAGAUACUGGGCAGCCUUUGAGCAUCGGUUUUGAAUGAGUUCAGGGAUUUCUCAUUCUUCUUAAUGAUUGAUGUGUUAGUAGCUGUAAGUUUUGUUUUAUAAAUGAGUACUUUUUGAGAGGUCUGGUGUAGUACUAUAGGUUCGCUUUUAGUUGCCGAGAAAAUGCUAGGAAAAUUUAGUUUCUGUUAUCCUAUAUUUUACUUGUCGAGUUCAACGAACAUUUUUGUGAUACUUACUGUCAAUUGUAAUGUCAAUUUUGUUUCUUUAUUAUCCUGGGUUUUGAAAUUUGAGCCUUUUUUUUCAUUCUUGUUGACAUGUUAGUUUUGUUUAAUUUCAUUGUUGGGGUUUUAGGGGGAAUUAGAGAAUCGAUUAUUUCACCUACUUGUAUUUUAAUUUUAAUUUCUCUGAAUUUUGAGAAAUCUUCCAGAGAAGUUGUUUGUCUCGGCAACCAAGCAGAGAAUUAGGCUUGCCAUCUAAUGGCUUUGAAGCAGUUACGUGUUGUUGGAAUGCUAGAAAUGGAGAAAUUUCAACUGAUCCAAUUAUCUGCAAUCAGCGAAAUAUGAUGGCGUUAGUUUGAUAGUAGAAUAUAUUUGAAGAACAAUUCAUAAUUGCAUAUUUCAAUUUGGGAUUCUCGAUUUGUCCCGAAAUUCCGAAAAUAUUUCGGAAUUCUCGAAAAUUUGGUUUGGGAUUGGUCUUCAAUUUUCUGUCCCGAAAAAUUUCGGUUUGAGAUUCGAGAUACUAGUUUCAGUUCGGUAUCCCAUAUUGAACCAGCCCUAGAUAUUCAUAUUCCUGUUUUUGUUAAUCAAUAAGAGAUUCUGUAUAUUUAAGACUUAAAGUUUACAAGUGAAAAAUGAAUUUGAGAUUCUCUUUAGUGUUUAGACUUGAAUUUUUACAGGUAAGUGAUGAAUUUGAGAUUCUUUUUAAGAGUCAAAUGUCCCGCUCAUAUUGUUUCUUCCAUAAAUUCUAAAUCUCUUACUGUAAGCUCCUAAUACCCGUGUCUUGGUCUUCCCUUAGGGUACUUUCUCCCAAGUGGAGCUCCGUUCCUUCUUUAGACAUUCCCAGAGGCUGAAGAAGCCAAGAAUCACUGCUACUGAAACUGAAAGUUUCCUAAAAUCCCAAAAAAAGUAUGAUGGAAGAAACAGGCAGAGCAAUGGUCGUCUCACGCCCUUCAAUACUUUCAUCAGGUUCCGCCCGAGCAGAUUUAUGCUGCUAUAGCGGUCUUGCUAUUCACCUCAUUCUUACUUUUGUUGGGUACGUACUCUUGUAAUAUAUUUUUUUAAUUUAUUUUCAAAAGAGUCCACAGUAAUAUAUAUUUUCUUUAUCUCUGUGUUGUAGUAAGGUUUAAACGCCCAAAAGCUAAUAAGCGGGCAUAGUGGCUGUGGGAAGAUUGUUCUUUUCUAUCAAGUAAGCUUUGAGAUUAUUGGAUUUUGUUCUUCUAAACAUUAUACGAAUCACUUUUGUAGACUCAAUAGUUGAUCCAAUUUUCUAAAUCAUUCAUUAGAGUGACUAAUGUCACACUUAGUCUUUAAUAUGUAAUGCAAACGAAAUUUAUCUAGACCAUAUGACUCUGGUUAUUUUCUCUAUGUCAAUUAGAAACUUGAUCGGGUUGGUCCUGUGCUGAUGUUGUAUCCCUAUCUUUUUUCUGAUAUAAUUUGGAAGUCUAUGUCUGUUUGAGAUAAUUUGUUGUUUAAUGCUUGGAAAAUAAUAUAUAUAGAAAUUCUAAAUGCCUUUUAUUAAGUAUGUCCAUCUUUCCCUGUUUCAAGUUACUUUGGUGAUCUAUUUAUGCCUUAGAAAUGUUCAUCUAACUUUUAUGCCAUGAUUUGAUGCACAUGCCAGCUUCGGGAUGGCUCUUCACAUCAAGGUACUGUCACUUCCAUGGAACCAAAUGAUGGAUAUUUUGUGCUCCAUUCGGAAAAUUCAAAGGUAUAUUUCAGCCUCUUGUGCUCAUAUGCAAAUAACUAUGUUCAAACAAUAUUGCUUGUCUUGUUAAGUGAGGGCAGAGUUUAACUUAUCUGUUUGCUUUUGAUAUGUAGAAGACAUUAGCCACAUGAUCAUUUUCUUCCCUUUCUUUUGUACUGUUGUUUUUGUUGAUUGUCAACUUGAUCAUGCUUACCCGUCUAUUGGUUUUUAAUGACAGGGUGGAAAGGAAAAUCAUGUUCAUCUUAUCGAUGUUCCUGGGCAUUCUCGCCUUAGAGCCCAACUAGAUGAUUUUCUGCCUCAAGCAGCUGGGAUAGUAUUUAUGGUUGAUGCUUUGGAGUUCUUACCUAAUUGUCGUGCUGCUUCUGAGUGAGAUUUCCUCUUUCCAGUAUAAAAGCUACAAUAUGAUAUUGAAAAAUGGCUACUCUGUUCGUGGCACUUUAUUUGCUAUGAAUUGAAAGGUCCGAAUGACCAACUCUGCAAUCAGUUGUUAGAAUCAAUAGGUCUUCAAAUCGUUCAUUUGAAAAAAUUGAAACCCUUCUUAUUGGAUGAUCAUGAUACUUCCCAAAAAUCAAAAUUCUUGAUCAACGGAGGAACAAUAUCACCAUUUUUGUUCAAUAAGAUACCAAAGUGGAUGAUUGACUCAUUCCAUACUAGAAAAUAAUCGCAGGAAAUCUUUUGAUAACAUGGAUUCCUAUUUCUCAAUGAUAUCCCACGAUCCUAUAUGAUAUUUUGACUAAGGCAACUGUGGUGAGGAAGAAAAUUCCAGUUCUUAUUCUCUACAACAAGACAGACAAAGUAACAGCACAUAUCAAGGAAUUUAUUCGGAAACAACUGGAGAAAGAAAUGUAAGAUUUGAACUCUUGUAAUUAUAGGUUUCUUUUCUCUGAUUGAUUAUAAUGUUUUACUCGAACUUUUCAAUUCCGUGUGGGACUAAAUUAACUGGUAGUUAUAUGCACUCGUAAAUCAUUUCCUGCAUCUUCAUUUUUUUUAUGAGAAAUAUCCAUUGUCUUCAUGGUUUCCGAGGAAGAUAAUUCCUUCUGAUCAACAUCUAUGUUUUCCAUAAGUACAUCGGUUGGACUUUAAACUGUUUCGCUGUGAUUUUCUAACUUUCGUCGAUGAUGCAUUGAAGACAAAAUUUUCCAUACAAUUCUCUGUUGGUUUUGUUUUGUAAAGUGUUCAUUCGCCGACAGGUAUGGUGAUUUGCAUUCAUUAUUCUGUUUCUGCUUCAUAAAUCUAUUUUAUUGUUCAUUGUUCUGAUACAUUUGACAUAUAACAUCCUACAGCGAGAAGUUACGGGCAUCAAGAAGUGCAAUAUCAGCAGCUGAUAUUGCAAACGACUUUACCCUUGGAGUACCUGGCGAAGUAUUUUCGUUCUCUCAUUGCCAGAACAAAGUUACAGUUGCAGAAGCAUCUGGUCUAACGGGUGAAAUAUCUCGGGUGGAGCAGUUUGUGAGGGAGCAUGUGAAAUCUUAGGAUGUGUCAUCUCCCCCAUUUGAUGAAUUUGUGAUACUUUUUCUUUGAGGUUGGGUUGAACAUUGUCUCUUGAUGAUUGAAAAAAAACUGACUUGAUGUGCAAACUGGGUUCAACUAUUUUUUCCAAGGAAAGUGAAGGGAGGAUGGAAGGAAUUCAACAGAAGGGAAGAGAGAGCAAUGAACAAAUAGAUUCAUGAGACGUAAUACCGACGACUGUUUAUGGUUGAUUUAUUGUGCUUAAAUUGACUGAUUAUGAUGCACGGCUCAACUUGUGCUUAAAUUGUUUCGUUGAUUCUCAUACUGUAUUUGCACGUUGUCGAAAUCAGCUCAGCUCGUCGGAAAUCCAGCAUAGUUUUGCCUUUGCUGUUGUUUCCGACCACCAUUUCACGGUUUUGGAUUUCAAAAGAGCCAUUGAUAUGUUAUGCGUUCGUUUUAAACCAUACACGAGUGAGUAUAGUAAGGAUUUCAGCCUAAAGUGUCGAUAAACUCUUACAAUAUUUUCUCCGGUCCUUCAACUUAACCCCAUGUUGCACGAGUGAAGUUUGCCUUAUCUUCUAUCGAAUCCCUCACUUGUAUGGAAAGGACCACUCGUGCAACGCCAAAUCCCUCACCCUCAUGGAAUUCAAAUAUCUCGUCCAUCUAAGGAGUCCAAUUCUUCCAAUUCAAGAGUUUGGAUUUCUUAUUUUGCGUGGGCACCGCCAUUCUAUUGAUUUCUUCAAAGUUAAUAAUCGCUUUACUAUUAUGUAAUCAAAUUUUAACUCCUUGUUUCAAUUAUGAUUACGUAAAAUCAUCAUAAAAGGUUUAGGGACAAAAACUAAACUCGAGUAAAGUUUAGGGACAUUUGUCACAAUUUUUUUUUUAGUAGAACAAUAUAUUUUACACAAAGAUGAUGGGGAAUUCGGCUAACUGUACAACGGACAACCUAAUUUGGUAUUGAAUUCGCCAUCUACGAGAAUCGAAACUAAGAUCUCUCACUUAAUAGUAAAGAGAAAUAUCACUAAACCGUAGUACUAAGUAACUUUGUCAUAAUUCAAGCUAUUAACAAAUAACUAAAAGAAAAAGGCAAAACAACCUACUUGUAAGUUGGUUUAGGAGUUGAGGAGAAUGAGUAAUGCUAUUCAUACCAUGUUUUUAUACCACAUUUCUAUACCAGCUUAGAUAGCAUCUGAUGCGAACAACUAUAUCAUUUGAAAAAUUUGCGAAACCCAAGAAAAUGAAAGACUCUUCGUAUACAAUAAUCGUCAUUUAAUUAACUAGUUUUUCUUAAUUAUAAAUUUAUUAAAUAAUGAACUAAAUUUAUUUUUAAUUAAUUCAAAUGAUAUGACUAUUCAUAUUAAAUAUCACUUAAGAUAGUAUGAAAAUAUGGUACAAAAAUAUGAUACGAAUAAAUAACUCGAGAAGAAGCGGGUAAGAGGAUGAUGGAUGGAUGGAUGGAUGGAUGGGAUCAGUCGGUCACGGGCCUAGUUACGUUGCGUUUGCGUGUAUUAGACAUAGUCAACGGAUGUAAAGUAAAAGGAGUGAAUGAAUCCCAUUGGCCACUGGGCAUUGGUGGGGCCCACGUACCGGCAGCCGGUGGUGGGUUCGCUUCGGGAUGGGGCCGUCCCUGACCACAGACCACCACGUAGUAAUAUAAUAUUAUAUAUAGAAUUCACGGGCGCUACAACCCUUCUUGCUUGCAUGCAUGACAUGUUGAUUCUUUCUUGAUCCAGACAAAAGCAAGUCUGUAACAGCAACCACUAGAAUUAGAUGAGAUGAAACGAGAGCCACAAAUUAAGAAACCUAAUCAUUCACAAGCUUGAAUUAAUUAAGGUCCAACGCCAAUGAACAUCAUCUUACCUCUCUUUCUGUCUGUCUGUUUGUUUGUCCCUCGUUCAUCCUCCGCCACAGAAAAUAUUCACUCCUUCCAUGCCAUCAUUUUCAUUUCUUUUCCCCUUCAAAUUUCAAUGGACAGGGAAAUGUGGAGGAAGGGGAACUUUCUACUUGCGCUACUGCAUAUGGAGUGGCAAAUCAGUUUAUUGGGUUAUUAAUGGGUACUUAUUAAGAUUCAUUUACUUUAAUAUCGUCAUAAAAUUUAGACGAUAUUAGUAAUUGUGAUGAUAGUGUAAGGUGAAAUUAAAUUAAAUAAACCAUAAUGUAAUCAUUAACAACUUAAUCCGGUUGAUUUGCCACCUUUUUUUGCAUAUGUAUAUGUCUAUUUUGGCGAAAUGAAAAACUCUUUAAAUUCGUAGUAUUUUGAAAGUAGACGAGAAGGACUUUUUAUUUUGUGAAAAUUAGAAGAGGAUUAAAGUCUUGAUAAAUAAAAAAAAAAAAAAAAAAAAGAGGAUUAAAGUCAUUAGUCUCAUUAUUGGUGAAGAAAACUUAUCCCAUUUAAUUGAAAUAUGACUCUAUGGAUUCCUUUCAUUUGGAUCCUCAAAAUCCUUCAAUCUUGUACGUUCACAUGAAAAUCGAACGUCUAGGAAUUAAUUAAUUUUUCUUUUGCUUUUUAAGUUUUAACCAAAAACAAUGUACAAGUCUUUUCACUUUCUCCCGUCCAUUGAUUGAUGGUUGUUCGAUUUUCAUGUGAACGGAACAAAUAUGAUUGAAGGAUAAUGGAGGAUUUGAAUGGAAGGGAUUCGGAGAUAACCAUAUUCCCCUCUAAUUAUCUCAUAUAAAAAGGAUUGGGAUGAUUGUAAUGUUUCUUUUUAAGUAAUUUAUCUCCUAUCUUAAAAUUAACUACAAAAUUUUCAUUGCUUUUUUAACAUAACUUACAAAACGAAGCCAUAGGGAUAAAUCCUACCAGUACGUAGGGUAUAAUAUGAUUUCAUCUCAGCCACAAAUUCAAGGGCCAACGGGGCCACUGGUUUAUGUCUUUGCUCAAGUCCCUAGCUAAGCUAGGGGUCCUAUACUCCUACUCCUACACAUAAUUACAAAUUGAUGCGGUGGGCACUUACUCUAAUCUCCCUUACUUAAUUACCUAAUUAAACAUGAAUUUCAUCAAUUAGCAGCAGGGUUCUUAGAGUAACAAAACAAAACAAAAAACAGAAUAGUAGAUAGCAAUCAUCUUAAUUUCAAUUUUCAACCCCCUCGAAAGCCAUUUUUGUUUUGUUUUAGUUAAUUAAUUAGCAUUUCAAGUUUAAGAAAAUUAUUAAUAAUAUUUCUCCAGAAAUAAAGGCUUUGAUUAUUAGGUUACCAGCUGGAUGUAAAGUGUUAACACAGCAUUAUCGCAUGGUCCCAAGGAUAUGCGAUCGCUAGCAUACAAAUACGAUGUCGUAUAAUGUAGAAACAAAACAAACUUUCAUAUAUAUAUAUAUAUAUAUAUAUAUAUAUAUAUAUAGAUAUAUUAUAUACACACACUUGUAUUCACUUACCAAAGCCACGUGAACUUUCUGCAAUUCUGCAUAUGCAACUUUCCAGGACAAAAAUCAAAACAGAAACAUAAAGCUUAUGUUGGAGAGAUUUUCCUCCGUGCAUGGACCAUCGGCAUAUCUCAUAUGUCAUUGUGUAAUUGGAACGACACUCAAAAGAAAAACUUAUCUCUACUUGAAUAAUGAUAUAUGGUGUAUUAUCAUAUAUUUCGAGCACAUUGAAAAUCUCUCUUUAUAAUGAGCUACAUGUAAAUGAAUAUUAUAGAAAUAAAUUCUAAAAUGUCCAAUCAAUCGAGGUUCAAAUGAGAUAAAGCUUAUCUUAAGUUAUAUAAUUAUGAUAACUCUCACACUAAAUACGAUCCACAUUUUAUUGAACCACAAGAAUAAGUACAUGAAGUUUCAUAGUUUUGUGAUAUAUACCUUGCCAAUGACGUGUUUGCCCGAAUAUUUUUUUCCACUAUCAUAUAUACAAUUAAUAGGAAUGUUAAUAAUCUAUUUGUUUACCUUUUCGGCUUGAAAGAUAAUCUCUACAAAUAUUAACUGAUAUUCGUAGCUAUUUAGUCAUAUAACAAUAUCUAGUAAAUAAAUAAAUUAUGUUUCUCACUUAAAAUUAAUGUUAAUCAAACGGUUGAAUAAUUUAUAUUUUGAUUGAACUUUCAGAGUUGAUCUUUAAAUUGUGAUCUAAAAAUUAGACAGUUCCAAUCCUCAUCUAACAUUGCUACAAAAAUAUUAAAAGAAUAACUAAGAAUGUCAAGUGAAAAGUUUGCUAGCAUCCUGUUUAAUUAAGGGUAAUGCUAAGCAGACAAAAUUUUAGAAACUAAUUAAAUGACGUGAAAGUUGAUGAUUGAUUUAUUACUUAAGCGUUGAUAAAUUUGCUCAUUCCUAUUGGUGACAUUGACAUAUUAUUUAAUUUGCAAAUUUAUCUUCGAAUUUAGUCUCAUUAGCAUUACCUUCUAAUUAAUCACUUUGCAAUACUCAUAUACUCAUAUCCUAUCCAUGUAUUUUACAGGUUAGAAGAGAAGGAAAAAAAACUGGAGGAAAAAUUAGAAAACAUAAAUUAGGAAAAAGAAACAACAAAGCAAUGUAGCAGCUAGCUGGAACCCUUGUUCACCCAAAAAAAUAAAAUAAAAUAAAACUGGAACCUUAUUUAGCACUGAGCUGAGCUUUGCAGAGACAAACAAGAAGUAAAGAAAAAACAGAGAGACAAACAAGAGAGAGAGCUCUUGAAAUCUUCAAUGAAGAAACAAGGCAGUGAGAUUGAGGCAGUAGGCAUCUCCUACAAGAUUAAUCACACACCCCACCGCAACUUCUUCAACAUCUUCAGCCAAAACAAACAACCUGCUUCUGCUUCUGCAUGUGCUGCAAAAGUAGCUGUAGUAGCAGUUGAAGAUGAUGGAAGAUCAUCGAGAGGAAGAGCAGGAGGAGUUGGUGGGCAAGAAGUCCUCAAGGACGUCAACUUGCGAGCAAGGCCAUGGGAGAUCCUCGCCAUUGUUGGUCCCAGUGGAGCUGGUAAAUCUUCCCUCCUUGAGAUUCUCGCCGGCAAGCUCACCCCGCACGGCGGUUCCGUUUUCGUCAACCAAAAGCCUCUCCGCCAACCCUACUUCAACAAGGUCUCCGGCUACGUCACCCAAAAGGACACAUUGUUUCCUUUGCUUACAGUCGAAGAAACCCUAAUGUUCAGUGCCAAGCUCAGGCUCAGGGUUUCUCCCCUUGAGCUCAGCUCCCGCGUCAAGGGCCUAAUCAACGAGCUCGGCCUCUCCCAUGUCUCCGCCGCCAGAGUCGGAGACGACAGAGUUCGGGGGAUCUCCGGCGGAGAGAGGCGGCGUGUCUCCAUUGGAGUCGACGUCAUCCACGACCCCGAAGUGCUCAUCCUCGACGAGCCCACUUCCGGGCUUGACAGCACCUCCGCCCUUCAGAUCAUCGACAUGCUCAAGACCAUGGCUGAGACCAGGGGCAGAACCAUCAUUCUGAGCAUUCAUCAGCCGGGAUUCAGAAUUGUGAAGCUCUUCAACUCAAUCCUUUUGCUGGCCAACGGCUCCGUCCUCCACCACGGCACCGUCGAUCAUCUCGGCCUCAACUUAAGGCUCAUGGGGUUGGAGCUCCCUCUUCAUGUCAACGUCGUCGAGUUUGCAAUCGACUCCAUCGAAACUAUUCAACAACAACAUCAAUCCACACCACACAAUAAUAUUCUUGUUCUUGAUCGUCAGAGUCGAACUGGUAAGCUGACUCUGCAGCAGCUGUUUCAACAAUCGAAAACUAAUAAUAGUAAUGCCGGUGGCGGAGGCGGAGGAGGAUUAGUGCCACUUGAAAUUGACGACGAUAAAAUCACCAAUAAUGAAGUUUUUCCCGAUUUGGAUUUUACUAAUUCGAGACUGCGAGAGACGAUGAUCCUGAGUCAUAGGUUCUCGAAGAACAUAUUCCGAACAAAGGAGCUGUUCGCAUGCCGGACAAUUCAGAUGCUCGUCUCCGGACUAGUUCUAGGCUCCAUCUUUUACGACCUCAAAGACGAUCUCACCGGAGCCGAGGAAAGGGUAGGUCUAUUCGCAUUCAUUUUAACGUUUUUGCUGUCGUGCACGACGGAAGCACUGCCGAUAUUUCUUCAAGAGAGGGAGAUUCUGAUGAAGGAGACUUGUUGCGGAAGCUACAGGGUCUCGUCUUACGCCAUCGCCAACGGAUUGGUUUACCUGCCCUUUCUACUAAUCCUAGCCGUCCUUUUCACUCUGCCACUGUACUGGCUGGUCGGACUCAACCCUAACUUCACGGCCUUCUUCCAUUUCUUGCUGUUGAUCUGGUUGAUAUUAUACACUGCGAAUUCCGUGGUGGUGUGUUUCAGUGCACUCGUGCCAAAUUUCAUCGUGGGAAACUCGGUCAUUGCCGGUGUCAUGGGGUCUUUCUUUCUGUUCUCCGGUUACUUCAUCUCCAAUCAUGAGAUUCCCGGGUACUGGAUUUUCAUGCACUACAUAUCGCUGUUCAAGUAUCCGUUCGAAGGGUUUCUGAUAAACGAGUUCUCAGGGUCGGACAAGUGCUUGGAGUAUUUCUUUGGGAGGUGUAUGGUGACGGGAGAAGAAGUUCUGAGAGAUGAAGGGUAUGGGGAGGAGAGCCGGUGGAGGAAUGUGGUGGUCAUGGUCUGCUUCGUCUUGUUUUACAGGUUUAUUUCUUAUGUCAUUCUUAGAUGUAGAUGUCGAUGCUCCCAGUCCCAAAGGGGCUUCAAACCUACUCCUCCAACCCUCACUGCAACUCCUUUUCUUUAACUAGUAAUUAUAUGAUUAUAUAUAUAUGAUGACUGUAUUAUUUUGUGCUCACACAUCCAUAUCUCUCUCUCUCUCUCUCUCUCUCUCUCCAUAUUUCUUUUUCUCUCUGAUCACGAGUGUGAUAUGGACGACGGUUCACAAUUCACAUGUCUUUGGAAUUUAGUACUUUGCGAUGAGAUGAGAUGAGAUAGCAUCCCGAGAAGAAAAUAUCGCUUCAUAAGAAACAAAAAUGAGGGAACGAUCCCAAGCUAACAAGUCUUCUUGUCCUGCAAGGAUUAGGAGAUGGACGUCUAUCGUAUACAGUCUUACUUUAGCUUUGCAAAGAGGUUGUUUCCACAACUCAAACCCAUGACUUUUUAGCCACAAAGGAGCAACAAAAUUAAGAAGCAAAAUAUGCAUAGAUCCUCUAACAAUUGUAAUAACAUCCAUUUGAAAAGUUGCCACGAAUAAAAAGCAACAAGGUGCCAAUAGCAUAAGCUGCAUAAACAACAAAACAUGCACGACUAGUUCCAACUUGCUACGAAUCGAAAAAAAUUCCUCAUUAUAUUAGCAGCAACUCUUACUGCAAUGGUACAAUACACAGUACAACAUUUUUCGUUGUAUGAAUAACACCUAUAUGAACAACUAGAAUUCGAUUCAACAGGAAAUGGAUUCGCAAUUGGUGCCUUACCUUAUAUUCUAUCAAACACUGAAACUUACAAAACAAAAGAAUUUCAUACCGGAUAAAACAAUUGGCCUUCUUAUCAGACCAUGAAGAAUAUCGGAUUUGGUGUAUACGACGUGGCAAGGCCGCCGCCGCCUCCUAUAUCUGUGCAACAAGGAGUUCAUUCCAUGCAUCUGGAAUUCCAGGUAAGCACCAGUGUAAGCAAUCACUUGUGCCUGCAUUUCCUUUUCCUCUAAUGGUAUAGUGGGAUAUGUGACCUUCAUCUCUCAAUUGAGAAAUGGCAGUUAUAUCCAGUAACUUUACUUUUGUACCUUUCAAAGCACCCUCGAUCACUGAAUCACUGGAUCCUUCCUGGACUACUUCACUUCCUCCGACCAACGGAGUAGUAUUGUCGCAGGUACCCCCAGUAUUCCAGUCACCAUUGAAGAAAUGCCUCGGUGAAAUUGUCCGAAAGAAAGCUUUUAGGCGGGGAUGUGAUGGUAGUUGUGAAUCAACCCACCUGGUAAUACUGUACACAGUAAAAUUUUUAGCAUUUCCAAUUUCUGCACGCAUCUUUUCUUGAUUGGGCUUUCCGUUUACAUGCAUUACCCACCGGUUACCAUUAAUCUUUCCCCUAUUCCAAUGAUGCCCUGUAUUAAGAACCAGCACAUCAAACCGAUGAAGGUAUUGUCUCAAGAAAGCCGGGGGACGAUCCAAAUGCAUGGCAAUAUCACUGGCUCGGUCUGAGAUGUUAAGGGGCACUAGAUCACACAGGCUUGCUGACCAAUAAUAUAAGAUAGUGGUAUUGGUGUUAGAGAAUCGAUAGGCCCAGCCAUCAGGACGAAUGGCUCCACGACGUUUGACAAGGCCAUAUUCCUUUCCGACAUUCUCAACUUCGGGGCUUUCUUCCCCGCCAGUUGCCAUACACAUCAAAGACUGGAACUGCUGUCUACCCAAUGAAUCUCCUAUGAAAGCAAUCGUUUUGUCCUGCAUCCUGAAAGGCACAUUCACAUUUAGAAGACUGACCACAGCAAGAUAAACCAUUUCUCUGUAUUGCACCAAAUCUCAAACUCGGGAGAACAGUGGUCCAUAUUGUUGAAAGGAUUUAGAAGUAAGAUCGUAUGAGAUGAUUCAUUCACGACUCGGAAUAUUCUAGACUUCUAGUUGAAAAGUUUAGGUGUGCUUCUAGUGGAAACCAAGCAAAAUUAUAUGGUUUCAGUCCAAAAUAUUAUGUACACAAAUCGAAGAGUAAGUUGAAGCUUUUCACGAGUUAACCAGGCAGGAAGCCCUUAAUUAGACAAUGACUGAGUUCUAUACCUGGGAAAAUGAUAGCCAACAUAAAUGCAAGUAUAAAAAAAUGAAAAAACAAUCAAAGCGUUUACUCAUCCAGUGGAAUUGUCUUUCAAAUGAAUGACAAGACCGCAAUUGGCAACUUCACAUCAAAAUUCAAAUAAGUUCAAACAGAAAAGAAUUACCUUCUCAAGAAUGCAGAGCGUUCAAAAUCUGGUAUUUCACAAUUUGCUGGCUUCCAUCGGUAACCCUCAAAAGAAAAAUCUGUUCGUUGUGUCAGUCUACACGCCCACAUUUCUGAUAACCACUGCUUACAUUUAAACCCAGAAUAUAAAGGGCGCCUGUUGUCCGCAACCCAUCUACCCUUGGCAUAAUUACACACUGCAGAGGUGAAAACUCCACAAGCUUAGGAAACAUUGAACCAUGAAGCAUGAGAUGAUAAAUCUGAGCAAUGGAAACCUUUCAACAUAGCAGAGAAACAGCGUAAACAACUCUAUAGUUGGAUAAGACUUUCCGGUGAAAAAAUACAUGCAUAAUGUAUUUAUAUUUAUGUGAACUUCAACAUAGUUUAAUUGAACAACUCUGCCAUUACUAUUGCAGUGAAUUAUUCAACGGGAGUCAAAAUUUAUAAGAGUCAACGACUCAAGUGACACAAAACAAGAGCAAACCACUGAAGUGAUGAAAACAAGAGUAAACCACUCAAGUGAUGCAAAACAAGAGUAAAUGACUCAAGUAAUGCAUGGCAAGAGUAAACGACUCAAGCGACAUAAAACUGAGAAUUCUGAUGUUCAAGAAAGUGCUAGGUUAAAAUUUGGUUCGGAACACUUUCACUCAAGUGUUUCUUAGAUCCUUCAUAUCAAACAAAUUCUUCAAUCUUCUCUUCAAUAGAAACAAUCCGAUAAGCAACAGGUAUUAUGCAAUUGAUGGCUUGACAUAACUUUAUGUCGUUCUACACCAUAACAUGAUAUGUUAAGUGUGAAAUCAUUUUUUCACUUGUCCGUGAAAUACAUGGUACUAUCUUUUAACUAUUUAUUUGUUUUUCUUUUUGCCUUUCUAAAAUUAGCGAAUGCAGCAGAUUUUUGUCUCCAUUCAUAAUAUCUCCAAGACCUCCUUCCGCCAAAGUUGAUUUGGUUAAAAUUAAAUGUAGCAGCAUUUUCCAUACAGAGAGAGAGAGAGAGAGAGAGAGAGAGAGAGCAUCUUUUAAUCAUGCAGUACCAAACCUCAAAUCAGAUCUCAUACUGUGGUAACAUAGGACCUCAUCAGAUAUCAGAUUACCACUUUAAAAGUAAAGCCAGUUUAUAUUUUGAAGAACUGGUUGUCAUUAAGAAGAGAAAAGUUUACUCUCGACUUUGUGCACAAAGAAAAAAGAAUAUGAAAGGAGAAAUUACUAUUUCACUUUUGGGGGAUCAUCAAUCCAUAAAACUGAUUCACAAACUGGUAAGGAAUAGGGUUGGCAUGUAUUCAACCAGUAAGACAAUCAAACAAGGCAAAGAAUAUAUAUCUUCAAGGACAUUAGCUGCCACAGGACAAGGUAUAUAAUAUUUACGUAAAUGUUAUGUGCCUAACCAGAUUUAGGUUCAGCCUGACCAGUUUCCAUAAACACCACCUAGAAUUUAAAUUUUCAACUAACAUCAAUAAGAAAACAAUCAUUCCAUGUCAAAUGAGCUAUUAGCGUGAAAUCAUCAUGGUAAACUGACCGCCAAACAAUGCUGUAUACAAUUAUUUUUUUAACAAGAAAUACAAUUCAGAGAGACAGAUUUAAUGUACUAUUCUAUUCUAUGGGACCCCUCAAUUGCAUAGUGUAGUCCAUGAGCAAUAGAACAAUAAGAUUACUGUAAUUACCUACAAAAGUUAACAAUAAUGAAGCUUACAGCCCUAUGAGAAAGGAAGCUAUACCUUUAGUUUGGAAAGAUGUCGCAUUCCCAUUACUUUCAUGCAUUCCAGGAGAGAAUGCAUACAUAGAAUCUAUUGGGGCUGUGCCAAACUUUUCUAUUACUUUUGUAUCUUCUGCCGUAUUCAAAUGUAAAUCCUUCCCUUCAAUAUUUCCAUUUGUCUUCAUAGGUUUGGAGGAAUUAUUUGAGAAGUCCCCAAAAAAAUCUGAAUAAAAAAUGAAAAACAUUCAUCAGCUGGCAGACAAAGAAGCAGGUAUAAGAUGAGGUCAGUCCUUUCAGCAUUGAAGACAAAGAUAGUAGAUCAUUUCAAAAGACAGUAAAACAACAAGGGAAGAACAUGAGUGGUCAAGAACAACACUAAAAAAAAAACACAAAAAAGUUACCAAAAAACUAAAACUAGACACAGCCAUCCAGACUAAAGAACUCCAGCCUGCCAGUUAAGCCAAUGUAGGAGAAAAGGAGAUGUGCUUAAACUCCUUAGAAACAGAAGCCCAAAAGGUUGACCAAAACUGAACUCCUUUCAGCACUGACUGAAGAGGCAGGCAAAACUAGUGAUAAAUAGCUGAAACAGCAGCUUUCAAACACUUAGCAAACAUUUUAGCAUUUACUAAUGAGGUCAACUAGUGAGCCUUAGAUCCUAAUUACUUCAACAGAUAAGAAAGUUAGCAAUUAAUAUAGCUUUCAAGAGUCGUUUGGUAAGCAAAUAACCACGAACCAUGUCAUUCUCAUAUCUUCAUUUGGCUUUUCCUUCAGCACUGACCAACUAGACAGGAAAAACAUUAUUUCAUCUCACCCUAAUUUGUGAUAUUUUCAUGCAAGCAAUAGUUAUCUACAUAUCCCGCAUAGCCACCAAAGUUCACCCAUCAUCCCAUCCUAAUUCUGACUUUUUUCUAUAAUAAACAAGCUUUUUGACAUUUAUUUUAUCCUUAUGGCAAUUUUACUUGUACAGAAAAUAAGUUUCUAAAAACCUGUGAGUUUCUCCAAAGAAUAGUCACUAGAGUACUAUAACAAUCAUGUCAUGUGCAGUCCAGCCAUUCAUUAUUAUAUAUCACAGCUGAAUCAUGGAUGAAAUAAACUAAAAACCGCACUCAGGUACUUCAUGGCCAUCACUUUUCUUGCGUAAUUUUAUUGUCAUAUGCAAUAAAAUAUUGUUUCCUCCUUAAAAAAAAUAGAGCAAUAGAAAUGCAAAAGAUGCUAGUAUGGGGAGUUACAUAGAUUAUCAAAAUUUAAAUAGGCAAUAUAAAUAGGUAAUGUUUUGGUACAGUUGCCUUCUCAUUUCUUAUAACUACUUUUUAAGCUUUCUGCAGACAAGGCAUCUUGUUUUCUUAAUGGUGCGGUAUCAUUUAAAGGUGUGAUCACUGAAAAACAUCACUAGAUGAUAGAUCAGAUUAAUUUUUCAUUCCCUUCUCACAUUAUCAGGAAAGUAUGGGAUUUUGAAGGACUGGACUAGGCAAGUAGAUUCAGUUCUUGAGAGCAGCUAUCGUCGUACCCAGUGCACAAGGCUCCCGCUUUACGCAGGGUCUGGGAGAGGUGAAUGUCGGCUAGCCUUACCCCCAUUUAUGAAGAGGCUGCUCCCAAAAAUUUUCAAAUAGGUCGUACCCAGUGCACAAGGCUCCCGCUUUACGCAGGGUCUGGGAGAGGUGAAUGUCGGCUAGCCUUACCCCCAUUUAUGGAGAGGCUGCUCCCAAGUCUCGAACCCGAGACCUACCGCUCAUGGACGAAGGCAGUUGCCAUCGCACCAAGUGCGACCUCUUGAGAGCAGCUAUGUUGUACAAAAAUGAAGUUAUAAGUUUCUAUGCCACUAUAGUUUGGCAAAUAGGCCGUGGCACAGGGGACUCAUGUUCAAAUUAAAGAAGAGAACCCAAGUCCAUGUUUCGAACAAAGUGUAGGCACAUAAAAACAUUUGGAAUGCUAUAGCAGGCACAAUACCAAUGGUAUUAACAUAAUACGGCAGGCAAUCUUGUCCCAAACAUUAAACUAGAUAUUUGUCCAAUUAAAAGAUCAGGGGUAAUAUACAUCUUAAACUAUUUACAAAUCCCAAGAGCAUUGUUCACCAUUUUCUCUAAGGUAAUAUCUAACAAAUUUUCAUGCACAUUUUAACCCUUAAUCGUAUCUUGUUAUUUUGUUGCAUAAAUGUACAAGAAAAUAUAAAAAACUUGAUUGGUAACAAAAAAGAGAAAAGAUAACAUGUAUUGAUGGGGAAACAAACCUAUGGAAGGCAUUGGAAACCGCUGGCGCGGCAAUAGUAGAGUAUCAGCAAAAGGAUUUUUCUCCCACGCCCAAAGUAAUAUUGUUGUGAAUAUAAGGGCAGCCAGAGUGAAAGAGAUUGGUUUCCCAAUCAAUUUGUAGUUAUAUCCCCCUUUCAUCUCAUAAGCAAAAGGCAAUUGCUCGAAGUUUUGAUAGCGGAACGCAAUCAGCUAAACUCCAUCAACCUUAAGCGUCUGAUCGUUUAAUUACAGGAGAGUUCAGCUGCACGCAAUGCAGAAAAUGGAGAAAAAUGAAAUAAAUAAAUAAUUGGAGGGAAGGGGAAUUAAAGUCACAGGAAGAAAUAAAACCCAGAAAAAUAAUUAAUUAACCAAGUUUUAUUUUAUUAAUUUUGGAGGGAAUGAAUUAACAAAGUAAUUAACUAAUUAGCAUAUAUUUGGUAAAAAAAAUCCUGUAUAAAAUAGUCCAAAAAAAGAAAAGAUAGAUACAGAUACAGAGAGGCACAGCAUGCACACUAUGAAACCAAAAGGUAACAGCAAUAAACGAAAUAUGAGAUGAACAGAUGGAAAAUUCAAACCCUAAUUAGAGGAACGGAAGCCAAAUCGAACCCUUAAUUUCCCAGAUUAAGGUAACGAUCCACUGGCACAGGUAAUUAACAGAAAACCGAAAAUAAAAGGAAUUGAACAUGAUAGAGAAGUCCGUAGUACUUGGUUUUAGAAAAAUGGAAAGAAAAAAAGAAGGAAAUAGGUGAAUCAGUACCUCCUCGUUGUGCUGGUUGAGGCUAUUUUUGCAGGCAAUGUGAGUCUGCGAAGCAUCUCUACCGACUACCAUUCAACAGAGAUCGCCACGGCAGACCACCACCGACCUUUUCCUUCCGAUUGAAAAGCUCGGCUAUCUCUCUCUCAGACUCUCACUCACUCUACCGUCAAAGGAAAUUCGAUUGCGGUAAGAGAAGAGUGUGAAUUAAUUAAUUUAGACGAUUUACGGGGAAGGGAAGAUGUAAGAGCAAAGCAAUCAAAGAGAGAGAGAUGACUGAAGAAAAAGAAAGGGAUCGCCGCACAUGGAUGGAGACACUUCGGGAUAUUUUUUUAAUAAAUUGAUACGGAUUAUUUGUCCAUAAUUCCAAUUAGCGCCACUUUAGGUGUAAUGUUAUAAUACAUAUCCUUUAGUUACGCGUUAGAAUUGAUUUUUCACAAGUUGUAUAAUUUUAAGGAAAAUAAUGAAAAUUUUGAAUUUUAACGGUAAAGAUAAAAUAAAUGAUAAAGUGAAUAGUAUCAGUAUUAAUUUUUUAGUGUAAAAAUGUGGGUUUUCGUUAAAAGUGAACAUUACCGGAAAUUUUUCGUUAAAGUUCUCAUAAAAAGCUUCUGAUACUGUUCAUUUUAACGAAAAAUCACAUUUUUACACUAAAAAGUCAAUAAGAUACUAUUUACUUUAUCCUUUAUUUUCUUAUUAUUGUUAAAACUCAAAGUUUUCAAACAUUUUUCAUUAGUUUUCCUUAUUUUUAUUCCAAUCACUUAUUUAUUUUUCGUGUAAUUGAUAAUUCAAUGCUACAUAUCUUUAAAGAAAAUCUCGCUAUAUUUGCUUGUUUGGUUUUUGUUUCGCUAUGUGUUCAUGGCGAUGUUUGAACCAGGAUAAUGGACAUAAUUAUCCAAUUUAAGUCAAUGAUCAUAAGAAAUAAAUGAAUAAUUAGUUUUCGGUCUCUAAUUUCUUAUAUUUAUUGAUGAAGACCUUAUCUUUUUUUAUUUUUUAAUUGGAAGCAAUGUAUUCAUUAAUCAAACUUAUAAAGAGUUACAAAUAUCUUAGAAUAGAAGCUCCUGAAUAAGAAUAGGAGGCUCCUCAAACCAAACUAAAUUAUUGCUACUAGACAAAACAAACUUAGCAAGCCGGUGUGCAACACCAUUACAUAAACUAGAGGCAUGAAUAAACCUCACCACAGGGAAAGUGGAAGCCAGAUGCAGUACAUCAUCUGCUAUCAUACCAAUCGUCAAUGAGUCUGACUUAGUCCGAUUGAGAGAAUUUUGAUCAAAGUCCCAAUAUUAAUAUAUUAAUGAAUUACAUGUAAGUUACAUAAUUUUUAUGAAAAAAAAAUAGUAAUUGAUUUAUAGUUUUAAUACUACACCCUUAUUAAACUCUAAAUAAUUUUGAAUUCAAACAUUUCCCAAAUAUAAAAAAUAAAAUUAGAAUAAGUUUGUACCUAUUAAAUUUUUAUAAAAAUAAUAAUUUUUUAAUCUUGUAUGUAUUCAUUCUUAGAUAUACCAAUUUAUUAAAAAUGUACCCUUUUUAAAUUUAAAUACCCAUUUUUUAUAUAAAAUUUCAUUCAAUCUUUUAUCUAAUCUAUUUUUUAAACUUAUAUAGGUACAUUCUAUUUUGUUGAUUUGAGAAUGUAUUCAUGUCAAGUUUAAUAGAAGAAAAUUAAUAAUGUUAUUCAGUCUUAUAUCUUUCUUUUUUUGUGCUUUUGAAAAAUGUACCCAUACUUUGGUACAAUAAAUUUUUUGUUAGUUUUGAUGAACGUACUCGUGUGUGUGUGUACGCACACAAUAUAUUGAAGAGUAUUGUAAACACGGAAAAUUCCUGAAACGAAAGAGACAAGAACAACGUGCACAAACAAAUAUUUGUAUUUAGAGGAUUUUGGGUUACAAUCUCUCUCUAUUUUGAUCCUCUGAUUCGAUCUCCGUAAGGUGUGUAUUUGAGGAUGUGUGAUUGAUCCAAAGGGCCGUUGGGCUUGAUCUAAGGAUGAACGUUCUUCAAGGGCCGUGGACUUGAUCUUGAAGGUGGAUUUGAGCGGAUCUUCAAAGGGGCUUUUGGGCUUGAUCUUUGAAGAACAGUGAUGAACGGAUCUCCAAGGGCUUUUGGGCUUGAUCUUGAAGAACAGUGAUGAACGGAUCUUCAAGGGCUUUUGGGCUUGAUCUUGAAGAACGGUUGGAUGUGUGGAUUUGUCGACGUUGUUAAUCCAAAAGGCCGUUGGGGCUUGAUCUUGGAUGAACGGAUGAUGAACGAUGCUGCUUUCUUCAAGGGCCGUCGGGGCUUGAUCUUGAAUUGGUGGAUGGUUGAUCCAAGGGCCGUCGGGGCUUGAUCUUGGAAGAACGAUGAACGAUGAACGAAGAACGAAGAACACUUUCUUCAAGGGCCGUCGGGGCUUGAUCUUGAAGGUGGAUUUGAUGAAGAACGAAAAGGGGUUUCUUGAUUCUUCGGAAACCUGGAUGCUUGAGAGCUUCGGAGUUUCAGAGCUUCAGAGCUUCAAGGUCUAAUAUGAAUUGGUCCCCUUUCAAUGAAUGAAAUAGGCUUGUAUUUAUAGAAUUUUCCAAGGUCUAAUUUCGAAUAUAAUAUUCCAGAUGAAAUAAGUCGUUUCUGCCAGGUGUUGACACGUGUCCUAUUUGAUGACUUUUCCAACUCAUUUCAAUUUUCGUUGAGUCACACGCUACGUGUAAAAUUUAUGUAAUACAUGAGCGUUGACACUUUGAUUUAUUGGUCAACAUUUAUUUACCGAAAUUUCGAUGUCUACAAGUAUAAUUCAUUUUUAAUAUUUUUAAUCCCAUAAAUUAUGGGUUUUAUUUAAAAUCUCAUUAAUAUAAAUAAUUACAAAUUUUAUUUUUAAUUUUAAAAUAUAAUAACUAACAUAAAAAUACAUUAUUGCAUUAAUGUCAGAGACUUCGAUAAAAAACUAAACCACUAAGGUUUCAGUCAAAUAAUUUAGAGACCACAUCCAAAGUGUCACUAAAAAAAAUAUUCUCACUAAGUGGGUUAGAAUUAUUCAAUUUUCAAGUCAAAUUAAUAAAUUAAACUUUGAAAAAAGAAAAACUCAAACAAGAAGUCAAAUUAAUAAAUUCAUGACGAUUAUAUACCUUAAAAAAUCUAACGGACUCAUAUACAAAAAGCCAUGCAAUAAGAAUAUGGGGAUGCAUAUUUAUGUCCGAAUGUUUUGGAAUAUAAUUCGGAUUUCCUACAUUUUAUAAGAAUUUAGAAGUUUUUAAACUUAUAUGUACCAGCGGAUCAAUGAUUUUUUUCUGAAUUUUUACCAUUUAUUUGUGUAUACGUCUAAUUAAUUUCUAGUAUAUAAGUAAGUUUACGAAUGUAUAUAACAUAAAAUCACAUUAAACAAGAUAAAAUUAUUUAUGUACUCCUCUUUUUUAGUAUAGAGUGCUAAAAAAUCUAAGUCCAAUUUACGCUCAUGAAGUCUUGAAAAAUUCACUUUUUUUUGUUACAAAAGUUUGGAAGAAUUUUUUAUUGUGUCCAGAACAAGACUCGGUACACAUGUUGUAAAUUGUAAUACAAAUAGAGGGACAUUGAAAUGUAUAUCUUCUUAUCACUUAUAACGUGUAACAUACAGUAAAAACCUCUCUAAAGUAAUGCUCAGACUUGUGUCCAGGGGAAGGUUGAAAUGUUUCUGUGAGUUUUCUCGGCCCCUGAAAUAGGUGGAUAACCGUGGUUUACCACCAGUUGUCCCUCUUUUAAAAAAAAUUAUGGUCUCAACUUGAGACUAGUAAUGCAUAAGAAUAAACUCUCUACAUUGUGUACGUCAUAACUUUUCUUGGUCCCCUCUUAAAAAGUACGCCUCUACAUAGUAAUAAUUGUCAAUGAGUACAAAAUUAUAUUACAAAAAAAAAGUUUUAGAUGAACGGAAAUAUUUUUACUUGUUUGAGACAAUGCUUUAGUUUAUAGAGCUAAUUUCACGUCUUUAAACUUGCAGUACAUAUGUGUAAGAAAUAUAAUACUUAAUACUUAAGGAAACGUAUUUAAAAAAUACAACAUUCAUUAAUAAUAAAAUUGUUUGAUCGCAACUUUAUGACUAUAUAAUAAUGUUACUAUAUUGGCUUGUACGUCGGUACAGAUGAGAAAAUAGCAUACAAAAAUCAAAUUGUAUUUAUCGGUGCACGUAGCAUGUCGUAUUCGUCAUGAGAAUAAUUUUAUUUUCCAUAAAAAAAAAUUACACCGACACAUUAGUGGAAUCCCACUCAUCUCCUCCUCCGUCAUCAUUCGUUAGAUUGGGAAAUGCAACUUUCAGUCUUGGAUGGUUGGACCAAUCUGUUGUUUUAAAUUGUUAGGAGAAAAACCAAAUGUAUCGUUUUAAGGGUUUUUAUCCUAAAUAGUCAUUGAAAUUGACUUUCACCAAUAAGAUGAUUCUUAAAAUUAAAAAUCAGUAAAUAUAGUUCCUGAAAAUAGGUGUCGCAAAAUCAAUAUGGUUCAUCCGUUACAAUUCUGUUAAAAAAUUCGUUAAAUGCUAAUGUGGCACAUAAAUGAAUCCCAUAAGAUUUAUAGAUUUUUUUCACAAAUGGUCCCUGAAUUUGACCCACACCAUCAAGAUAGUCCAUGAAAUUGACCCACACCAUUAAUAUGGUCCAUGAAAUUGAAAAUCAAUAAAUGUAGUCCUUGAAAAUAGGUGUUUCAAAUCAAUAUGAUUCUUCCACCACAAUUAUGUAAAACAAUUUGUUAUGUGUUAAUCUGAGUUUAAUAAUUAAUUAAAAAAAUUUGUCUAAAUACCUUUUUGCACAAUGGAAUUUUUUUUUUCUUAUAGUAGGGCCUACUCCGAAUAGAGCUCUCUUCCAUAAAUUAUCAAAAGCACAAGGCUUAACCAAGGCCUAAGAAGGGGUGUUGAAAUAAUUUUCAACCAACAAUAGACACACCUCGGUUAUAACCUCAUUAUCUCAAGGCAAACCUUGUCGUUCUUUGCAUCACCAGACCACCAGGGAAGUGCCGAACAAGCUCUCCAAGAUUAAGGUUGUGAGGAUGUUGAUCGCCUAUAUGUUAACGGUAAUCUCGAUCUAGGUUCAAUUCGGUAAAAGGUGUCGAAGUGUGUAAAGAUAAAUGUAUUGAGAUUUAUUUUUAGAUAACAUAGAGUGAAUGAGGUAUAGAAAUAUGGAUUGGGAUUGGAGGUGAUUGCAAGACUGGGUUUUUGUGUUGACAAUUUUUUUAUUAAUUAUUAAAUUAUUAAGCCUAUUUGUAAUUUUUUUUAAUUUAAUUAGACUUGUGUGACCCAUUUAUGUGUCACAUUAGCACAUAACAUAAUUUUUGAAAGAAUUGUGACGGAAUGACUACAUUGAUUUGAAACAUUUAUUUGAGGGACUACAUUGAUCAAUUUUCAAUUUCAAUAACCAUUUUGAUGUCGCGGGUUAAUUUCAGGGACUAUUUUUGUAAUACCCCAUAUAUAAAAAAUGACAGUAUAUAUGUGUGUGCAUAAGUAACUAUUUUUAUGCAAUGAUUUUAUUGAGUUUCUUUAUAUGUACUAUGAGUACAAAAAACUUGUAUUUUUGGCAUGUAAGUUAGUAGGGAUUCUUUCACUACAAAAAAUUAUUUUUGUGCCUAGCUAAUACUUUUAUACUCAAAUGUCUCCAACUAGAGAGGUUUCUAUUUUUUUGGCAUCCUCAUAAUAAUUUUGUAACUUUGUCUAGUAAUUGUGUAUCUUAUAUGUAUAUAUGCAUUAGUUUGAUUUUUUAAGGUUUCUACUUACCCUUUUUGUGCCAAUAGCAACUAAGUUACCCUUGCUAGCCAUUUGGAUCUUUAAUUAGUGAAGUGUAAAAGUGUUGGAGAGCUAAGCUCCGAGAGGUGGGAAAUUUCUAGUAGAGUUAGCUUGAUUUUUUCUCCAAAUAAUGGGUGGAAGUUAGUAAUUAAUAGAAGCUAAUAAUUAGGGUGAAGAGGUGGAGUCUAUAGCAUGUGUAUGUUAGUCUAUUUGCAUGUAGAUGACAACACUUUGUAUUAGAAGUGCUUACUCAUCAAUCUAUAGGAAUCUUAAUCGUUAGGAUGAUAUUCACCACCCUAAAUAGAGGAAGAUGACAACUUAUUGGGGUUAGAACAUUUCAUGUGGCCUUUGAUGUAAGGAACAUCUUGCAUGAUAUUCAUUAGUUCAUGAUUAGCUUAACAUUUGUUGUUUUUCUAUUGGACCACAUUUCAUUCUUAAUGAUUACGACAACAAUUGUUGAUUUGUUAUCGGAACUCAUUUUAUGUCUAAUGAUGGGCACGACACUUGAUUUCUUUCUAUUGGCACACUUGUGGAGGUUUUUGGAGAGGAAGAUGUCAUGCAAUCUUUAUAAGGGAAGGAGCAAGAACCAACGGAGGACAUGGAGAAAAUAAAGGAAGAAGAAGAAAAAAAAGAAAGAAAAAUAACAACUCCAACAAAAAGUCAUCCUCCCUUUCAUAUUACCUCUUUAUUUUUCUUUUACAUAUUGUUGAGGCUUUAAGCCAUCUUUCAUUGUAUUUGUAAGUUUCUCAUAUAUAGUGAAAUACAAUGAAAGCAAACCCCAGUGGAUGUAGUCGAUUUGGCGAGCCACUUAAAUCUUGUGUUGUUUAUGCAUUUACAUUUUGAGGUCAUUGUUAUGAGAGCACUCACACUAAAUCAUAAAAAAUAAGGGGGACAAAUCCCAUAAAAUGCAUGAGAGCUUACCCAACAAAAUUGCUAUAUGGAACUCAGAUGGAGUCAUGUAUCAAUAUCACCUAGAGAGAGAUGGAGUAAAAUGGUAAAGUAAUAUUUCGCAAUCAGAUUGUUAUGUGUUAUCAAUACUAUAUUAUCCGUAAUAUACUAAAAUUUUGACUACUAUCUAUUUUGAUUAGUUUUGCAUAUUAUAUUAUAGAACGUGAUUAUUGAUAUCUAUAUUACGUUGCAUAUACAAGAUUUCAUUAGUUUAUCAGUAAUAUACAUGUGUUGUGUCAUGUGCUCACUUGUGUAAAGUGUUUGUGUUGUGAAGUUAUUCAAAGGCUGAAGUUUGCCUUGAAUAUAAAAUAAUGAAAUCUUGUAUAUGUCAGGCAUCGGGGGAAUGGCUUGAAUAUACAAUUGGGUGUCGGGGGAAGUGCAUGUAUAAUAAAGUGGAAACAGAGAGUUUAGUUGCAAAAAUUGGGUUAAGGGAUGAACGGGAGUUAACUCAUAUUCUAAGGUAUUCGGAGCCAAGUGGUAUAACCAAGAUACGGGACGUGCAUGCUUGGGUGCCUUAGGUAUGUGUUAGCGGGAUUAGAAGGGAGUGAGUACAUUUAUGCAUCUCACUUGCAUAUAUGCAUUUGAAAGAAUUUAAUUAUUGUAGUUUUUGUUGUGAAUUAAUUUGUACACUAUAGUUAUUUCCACUGUGUAUUCAAUAAAUUUUUUGUAGUAAACUCAAACGUUUAAUAUGUAAAAGUUGUUAACUAGUGUUAUAGGAUGUAUUGAGUAAUCAGCACCAAAUUUUUCCACCAUAUAUUGGUUGUAUAAUUUAUUUUUAUAACCAAGAGAUGACUCACACCUUAAUUUGUGAAUAGUCUUUAUUCGCGGAUUAGGGCGUGAUAAUUUUGAUGUCAUGGGUUAAUUUCAAGGAUUAUUUGUGAGGAAAAAAAGGACUUAUGAGGCCCAUUUAUGUGCCACAUCAGCAUUUAACUGAUUUUUUAACAUUAUUGUGACGGAAUGACCACAUUGAUUUGCGACACCUAUUUUUAGGGACUACAUUAAUUGAUUUUCAAUUUUAAAAACCAUCUUGAUGGUGAGGGUUAAUUUCAAGGAUCAUUUAUAAUAAAACCCAUUUUCUUAAUAUAUACGACCUUAUUUAUAUUAAAAGGUGAGACAUGCUUCAUAAUAGGCUAACCACAAUAAUAUGAUUUGUAAUUGUUUUUGCUAAAAAUCGAACUAAGAUCUCUUAUAAUGGGCUAACCACAACCUAAAACCUAUUAGUUAUAAAUGAAAAAAUAUCACUAAAUCGUAGUAUUAAGUGUGAUAAUACAUCAAUUUUUAUAUUUGAACUAUAAAGUGACUACUCUCAAAGCUUAUUAACCUUUUGUUAAAAUUUGUUUAAUCAUUAAUCAUAUAGCUCAAAAUUUUCAUAUUAUGAAAAUAGUAAAUUGCACUAAUAAAACAAAUCAUGACAACAAUGCAAAGCAAACAUAAUUCGCAAAUUUGAGUUUAACCGAGUUGUAUAUAAUAAUGUGUUUUGUUUUCUGUAUUGUUGUUUAAAUAAAGUUUAGACAAAUUUAAUAUCUUUGUACUCAAAAUUCUAACUGCAUGUCAUUUUUUUUAGAAAAACUAAUGAAAAAGACUUGAAAACUUGGAGUUUUAACGAUAAGGACAAAAUAAAGGGUAAAGUGAAUAAUAUCAGGAUUGAAUUUUUAAGGUAAAAAUGUAAUUUUUCGUUAAAAUGAACAAUACUAAAAGUUUUUCGUUAAAAUUCUUUUUUUUUUCCCGAUUACAUGAGAGGAAAUCAAAUAUUUUGGACUAUCUUAAAACUCUUAGUUAACACACAUUGUCUCUCUCUAGAAAUCUCUGUCUUGAUCUUUCUGUCUUGAUCUUGGAUUUUGGACUAAGUCCGAUGGUUUAGACUUUCAUAUUCACAAAUCGCAUUAAAAAAAAGAGUGUACGUUGAUUAUAUGACAACGACUUGGGUUUAGUAUAAUGGUUUUCCACCCAAUAAGCCACCACGGUUCCAUUUGCACCCCUUUCCUUGCAUUGACUGCGAUAUUGAUAAUCCACCAAACCAAUUGACGUCUGGCAUUAGUCCGUAAUUUAAGCAUUAAGUUAAGUAAACCCCAAGCCUCAAUAAAACUUUUCAAAUUUCAAUCCAAUAUAAUCAUUUCAAUUUGAAGUAAAUUUGACGACUAAAUUAAAAGAAUUAUUAUUAGCAUUUCAAAAAAAUUUUAUUUGGCACUCCUUGCAAUUGUAUUUUUCUUCGAAUUUUGAAGUAUUAAUAACAAUUUCCUUAAAUUAUUGCUCAUUUAAAUUUAUACACAUAAGAAUUUCAUGAUAUUCUAAGUUAUUGGCUUUGGAAUCGGCGACAAUUUUAACAAUUAUUCUUGAUCUCUUUUCUCUCUGUAUUUUUAUAUAUUUGUUAGUGUAAAAUAAUCGCCAUAAAACGAUGUCAUCGUUAUAAUAGUCGUCGUCAUUUUUUUACCGACGCAGACUGUUAACAAAUUUUGUUGAAUCUAAUUACUUUGUCUUGGCCCACCUUCUUUGUUUUGUUGUAGGGUACUAGAAUUCUCUCCAUACUUUCAAUAGAAAAACUAAAAUAAUCGGGCCAAGGAUUGGUAGAAUUUAGAAGGAUAUCUCUCUCUCUCGGGGUUGGCGUUCUUCCGCGUUCUCCACCCUCUCUCGUCUACAGGAAAUCUUUCUGCUUUUCUUUUCUCUUGGUUUCUUGUCUUUUCUUUUCCUUUCCUUUCUGUUUCUUUCUUUUCUAAUUGGAGGUGUUUGGAGAUCGGAGAAUGCUGGAAUAAUCCCUCAACAGCAACGCAGAGGUAUCAGAUCUGCCCAAGCAACCAAACAAAGAAGCAAACAAGGUACCUACUUGCCUCCAAUCCAAAAUAUUUGAAAAUCGUCAGCUCAGAUUUCAACAUUUCGGAUCCGGGUUCGGAUCUACUCUGCCAUUGCUAGUUUGUUUGUCGUUCUCAACCGGUAUUAGGUUAUUUUGGGUUAUUGGGUCUUUUCCGUUUUUAGAAAUCUGUUUCCCUCCCUUGUUUUCCAUUUCUAGUUCGUUCCCUGUUAAUUGUUACAGAUCCUUUGCCGGAUCUGUUGUUUCGGUUUUCAGGUGUAGAUUAUUUGAGAACAAUCGGGUCUGUGAUCUGCUUCUGGGUCGAACAUGGCGACAGGGGGAAAAUAUACUAGAGUAGAUAAUAGGAGGCCGUCCUCCGCUAGUGGUUGCUGCUCCACCGUCACCGUUGGGGUGUUUGUGGCGUUGUGCUUGGUCGGGGUUUGGAUGAUGACCUCCUCCUCUGUAGUUCCCAUUCAGAAUGUGGAUGUGCCCACGGAGGAGAGUAAGAGUGAACUCAAGGAGCAGGGCAGCAAUAACGUCGGCGUCAAGGAACAAGCGAGUGACACCAAUGCCAGGCAAUUUGAAGAUAACCCGGGUGACUUACCCGACGACGCAACCAAAGGAGACAGCAGCGAUGGUGCUGCUCAGGGUGGAGACAAGCUACAAGGGAAGUCCGAAGAGACGACUGAGGAGAAGUCUGUGGAAAAGACUCAGGAGACACCUGAGGAGAAAACCCAAGACAAGACUGAGGAGAAAAGUGAAGAAAAGAUUGAGGAGAAAAGUGAAGAAAAGAUUGAGGAGAAAUCUGAAGAUGGCGACUCUAAGGUGGAGAAUGGAGAAUUGAAUUCCGAAAAUGGAGAAAAAAAGAGCGAUGGCGGCGAAAAGGACAAGUCUGAUUCCGGUGAUAAUGAGAAGAAAUCGGAUGAUGACAGUGAGAAAGUGGAGGUAACUGAUACCAAGGAGUCAAAUGGGGAGAAAAAGGAAAAUGAGCAGGCCAAAAACCAGAGUUCAAAUGAGGUAUUUCCUUCCGUUGCUCAGUCGGAGCUAUUGAACGAGACUACAACUCAAAAUAGUUCGUGGUCAACUCAGUCGGCAGAGUCAAAGAAUGAGAAGGAGGCUCAGCGUGCUUCUGAUCAGAAGACCAGUUACAACUGGAAAGUCUGCAAUUCCACUGCUGGGCCUGAUUUCAUCCCCUGCCUUGACAAUUUGCAAGCCAUCAAGAGUCUUCGAAGUACCAAGCAUUACGAACACCGGGAGAGGCAUUGUCCCGAGGAGGCCCCCAGCUGCCUUGUUCCUCUUCCAGAAGGUUAUAGACGCCCAAUUGAGUGGCCAACAAGCAGGGAAAAGGUAUAUAACUUAGUCGAUGUAUAAAUUCAUUACCACAUUGUUUCUGUCGUUUCUGAGAUAGAUUGAUAAGGUGCAUUCUUGCAGGUAUGGUACUACAAUGUUCCCCAUACAAAGCUUGUUCAAAUUAAGGGGCAUCAGAAUUGGGUCAAAGUUACCGGUGAAUACCUCACUUUUCCCGGUGGUGGAACACAAUUCAAGCAUGGUGCUCUUCAUUAUAUUGAUUUCAUACAACAGGUGAAUACUUUUAAGCAUUUGGUUGUUUCAAAUACAUUCCACUUGUAUGACUUUGCAUGUUGGUUUGUUCUCUCCGUAAAUAUGUAUGUACGUUUUUCUUCAGAUGUCUCAGUGUGUGCAUUCAAUCCUUGUCUUCUCCCUCUCCCUAAUAUUUUUAAUCAGCUCAUGCUUUGGAGAAUAUGUCAAUCUUGCUGCAUCUAUAUCGUAUUAAUACCUAUGCAUUUAUGAUGAAGUAUAUGGAUUUCUGUGUUUCUUGUUACAGUAUAUAUGACGCUCUGGUUAGAUAUGCAGAGUUCUAAAGAAUAUCUUUUUAAGACCUAGGCAGGAAUUUCAUCUGCAGGGUGACAUAUCUUGGCAACAUAUGAAUUUCACGAGUUUUGGAUGUGAUUUACCAGUAGGAAAAAAAACUAGAAAAGACACAUCUUUCGUGUUACUGCUCAUCAAAAUUACACUAACUUGGGUUCUCUUCUCUUGCAGUCUGUUCCUGAUAUUGCCUGGGGAAAACGUUCACGUGUCAUAUUAGAUGUUGGAUGCGGAGUUGCAAGCUUUGGAGGCUUUCUUUUUGACAGAGAUGUCCUUGCAAUGUCAUUGGCCCCAAAAGAUGAGCAUGAAGCUCAAGUGCAGUUUGCACUUGAAAGAGGAAUUCCUGCCAUAUCUGCUGUGAUGGGCACAAAGAGACUUCCCUUCCCCGGCCAAGUUUUUGAUGUUGUCCACUGUGCCCGCUGCAGGGUUCCUUGGCAUAUAGAAGGUAGUCCUUGUGAAUUGAUUUACAGUGUGAUAUGAGAUCAAGCUGAGAUUGUUGUUUAAAAAUGCAGUUUCCUUAUGUGUGAAAUCAGGGGGUUGUUUGGCUGAGUUUUCGAUAACUGUCAUGCCUAGUUUAGGGUUUAGGUUGAUAACUGGAAAACGAUAAUUUUCAGUUUUCUAUAUUAUAACUUCUAAGUUGAUAACUGGAAAGAGAUUUUCAGUUUAUGGCUUAUUUUGUUUUCAAGCUUGUUUUCUUCUUUGAGCAGUUUUCAAAUUGUGCUGCAUAUUUUGCACUCGUUCAUGAUUUUAUUGAUAGAAAGCUGUUUCUGAACUGACACACCAAAGAAGCCCCUAGAUCUUGAGCCAGUCUUUUCUGACAUAGUAAGCAUAGGAAACUUAUUUGGUUAUUUCUUUUCGUUUGGAUAUUCACCAAUAAACAUGAUGUGCAGGUGGUAAGCUUCUGUUGGAGCUGAACCGAGUGUUGAGACCUGGUGGUUUCUUUGUAUGGUCUGCUACUCCAGUGUAUAAGAAGCUGGGUGAAGAUGUUGAAAUAUGGAAUGGUACAUAAUUUGAAACCAUGUCUUUGGAACUUUUGAAUUGGAGUUGUUUGAUUAAUGCUAACAAGUCUAAAAAUUUAUGGGAAUUAUCUGCAGCCAUGAAGGAACUAACCAAAUCAAUAUGCUGGGAACUGGUGUCAAUUACUAAGGAUACAGUAAAUGGAGUUGGUAUUGCUAUAUACAAAAAGCCUACUUCAAAUGAGUGCUAUGAGAAAAGAUCACAGAACGAGCCUCCUAUCUGUGCUAAGUCUGAUGAUCCAAAUGCUGCCUGGUACACAUUAUAUUCAGCUGAACCUUUUCUUUCUCUUUUAGUUUAAUGAAUCUAGUGAAACAAUUUUUCUCUCCAGACCUUUGAUUUAGUUGCCUAAAGUAUUUCUGGUUGAAUUACUAAGUCUGUUUCUCGCUUAAUGAGAUUGCUGAACUUGGAGGAGAAAGGACAUUGUUUCUGUAUACUGUAGUUCUAAAACCAUGUGAAAAUAACAUAUUAUGAUGCGUUUGGAAAAGCAAAACUAAAACCUCAUAGAAAUGGCAAUUGUGUCACUCUUGCCAAAAUUUGUUUGAUGCGAACCCAGAGAUAACUUUAAUCUAAGCUCAAUAGCUACCCUAAUCUUAAUUUUUGUUGUGUACAGGAAUGUGCCAUUACAAUCAUGCAUCCACAAAGUGCCUGUUAAUGCAACAAAACGUGGGUCUGAAUGGCCUGAACAAUGGCCGGCGAGGUUGGACAAGGCACCUUACUGGUUGUUAAGUUCCCAAGUUGGUGUUUAUGGAAAACCUGCUCCUGAGGAUUUCACUGCAGACAAUGAGCACUGGAAACAUGUGGUGACAAAGUCAUACCUGAAUGGAAUGGGGAUUAACUGGACAUCUGUUCGGAAUGUUAUGGACAUGAGAGCUGUGUACGGAGGGUAAGAAAAAUCGUUCCUUGAUUGUCAUGAAUAGUGUGUUUUGAUGCAUGGAAAACCACCAUCUUUGUUAUAAUUUGUGCUUUACUGUUUAUCUUUAUUAUUUUUCUUGACCUUGCCAAAGAAUAUGUACAAGUGAGAUGUUGAGUUAGAGGCGGCUGCUUCUUUACUUUUUUUACCUGUGACUUCUGGUUGUGCUUGCAGAUUUGCUGCCGCUUUGAAAGAUUUGAAAAUUUGGGUCAUGAAUGUGGUCUCGGUAGACUCUCCAGACACACUACCCAUAAUUUACGAGCGAGGUUUGUUUGGUAUGUAUCAUGAUUGGUGUGAGUCAUUUAACACCUAUCCAAGGUCUUAUGAUCUUCUCCAUGCCGACCAUCUGUUUUCCAAGCUUAAGAAGAGGUAUGCAUACUAUUCCAUUUCUCAGAUUCUCUGUCCGCGGCAAAGCAUUUGUUAUUUCAUUCACCAAUUCAUUUCGCUGUCUAACUUUGGAAUGGCUUAUGAAUGACAGGUGCAAUUUAGUGGCUGUAGUUGCGGAGGUUGAUCGAAUCCUUCGACCAGAGGGAAAGCUUAUCGUGCGAGACGAUGUUGAGACUAUUUACGAGCUGGAGAACAUGGCGAGGUCGAUGCAGUGGGAGGUUAGCCUGACGUAUUCGAAGGACAAGGAGGGAUUGCUUUGUGUGCAGAAGUCCAUGUGGCGGCCCAAAGAGUCGGAGACACUCAAGUUUGCAAUUGCUUAAGCGUGGUGGUCGGAAGUCGUGGUGGUCGGCAGUGGCUGCUGGCGUUGCUGAGGAUAUAAUAGUUACCCAUUUAUAUUUUGUUUUGGUUGCUAAUUGAAAUUCAUGGUUAUAUUAGCCUUUUGUUUCGUUUUAGUUAGGGCUUGUAGUCUGUUCAUUUUUUUUGUUUACAAUAUUUUGUUUUCGUUGUCGGGAGAUCGGUGUUUGGAAUUCCACUGUAAUAUUACCGUACUGGUUAUUGAUGGAAGAAAAACCAAACUAUUGGUUUAUGUAAUAUCUGAGGAUUUCGAUUCUAUUGUUGUGCAGUGCUUUUGCUCUUCUUGGAGGAGAGAUUUUUAAGUGCCGGGAACACGGUCAGUAGAUUGGGUAUAUUGGUUGAAAUUAAAAAAAACAAAAAAAAAUCAAACCAUUGUGUUAUGACAUUUGAUGUAUCGAGCAAUGUUUUCAGCUUAUUGAAAAAUUUCUCUACUCAGAGGUACUCUCAGCCUCUUUUAUUUAGUGAUACGGGUACAUAAUUAGUAAUUAAUCCUAGUAUGUUUUCCCAUAAUAUGAUUGGUUCAUAAUUUAUUUUAUGAAAAUAAAAGUUAGAAGUUCUAAGCUCAACUUUACUUUUCGUUUUAUUUAUAAAAAUAAAUAAAUGUAAGAGCAUGACUUGCUAGGAUAGGAGCUAGCAUUUUAAGCUUGAUAUACCGUGUGAUCGAUGCCCUUAUAAUUCCUUGUGUCUAGACCCUAGUGGGUGUCGGAAAUUGAAUUAGAGUCUUAUCUGCAAGACAAAACUAGAUGGUGGUCAAGUUGACGUGAGAGCCAUUUUAUAGUGUUAAAAAAAACAAAAUUCAGAGGUGAAACCUUGUAGCAAUGGGAAAUGCCUCGCAACAUAAAUGUUUUUAUGGUCACUUAUUGACUAGUCACCCAUCUGAUGAUCGAAAAAUGUUUUUAAGGUUUUAAUUUUGAUCUUUGAUAUCAAUUUCAAUCAAAUUUAAGGACGGAUGAUUAUAAAUUUUUAAUCACCGAGUGACCAAGAGAACAAGACUCUGCCACGUAAUUAGGGAGUGAAAUUUAUUGAGGGGAAAGGGUUGCUUAGAUUAGGUGAAGACAGUUAAUUAGCAGAUGUUGACUCCGGGGAGAUAGAGCGAGUCCCUGGGAUUUUUAAUUGCUCAAAAUCAACCAAAGCUAACACUCCCUCUUCACCUGCCUAUUUUUCUGCCCUCUUUUUUCCUUUGUUUUGUUUCUCCUUUUUUCUUUCUAUUUUUCUGCGCUCUUUUUUCCUUUGUUUUGUUUUAGCCCAUUCAAAAACCAAAAUCCUCCAAAAGCUCUCUCUCUCUCUCUCUCUCUAUCUCUCUCUCUCUCACCAAUCAAUCACUAAUAUGAAAAGGGAAACGGAUGAUGAGAGGCUAUAUGUGCCAAGUGGAGGAGGAGGAAGCCCAGAAACCCCAUGCAGUUUAAAGAGCAGUACUACUGCUACUGCAUGUGCAAGUGCUAGUAACAACAACAACAAUCACCAACACCACAACCACCACAACAAAGAACAAGAUAGGUUCCUUCCCAUCGCCAACGUCGGUCGCAUUAUGAAGAAAGUGAUUCCGGGCAACGGAAAAAUCUCAAAAGAUGCAAAGGAAACUGUCCAAGAAUGCGUCUCCGAGUUCAUCAGCUUCGUUACAGGAGAAGCAUCCGACAAAUGCCAAAGAGAAAAGCGCAAGACCAUCAACGGCGAGGACAUCAUUUGGGCUAUCACAACGCUCGGGUUCGAGGAUUAUGUACAUCCAUUAAAAUCGUACCUCCAUAAAUAUAGAGAUCUCGAAGGAGAAAAGCUAAACGUUCCAAAGCAACAAAGAUCGGAGCAAAGGCUGCACCAGCAACAACAACAACCAGAUCAACACGAUCAUCACAACCAAACUUUACUACCUUACGAUAAUAAUAGUAGUAGCAGUGUAUAUUCUUCGACGACGAAUGUCAUAUCUCAGCCGUCAUUCAUGGCUGAUCAUCAUCAGGCCUUUUCUUUGCCUUUCUCCCCAAGUUCAAUUCAAAAACAGUUUCAGCCACAACAGGAUCAGAUUGAUUCAGUGGGGCAUUGGUAAGAAGAUAUUCAAUCGGGCCUUUUCUCUUCGUUGUUGCUUGAGUUUCCCCGGCCUACCUACCCUCCUUAUACAUACACAUAUAUACAUAUAUAUAUAUAUAUAUAUAUAUCUAUAUCGUGCUAAUCAAUACAAAUGUAAUUUAAUUAAUGUUGUUGACAAUAUAUAUAAACACUUACGUAUGAACUCAACUCAACCUUGAUUGUUUGGAUCAUAAGGAAGUAAAAGUGUGUAUUUAAUUGGUAAGAGUUUAUGUCUUAGGGUUUUCUUGUAGAUAGGAUUUGGUUUAUUUCCUAUAAGGAUUAAUUAGGGUUUGUUUGCACCAUAUCAUAUCAACCACAAAACCAUCAAGUACCUGUCAAUUAUGAAGCACCAUGAAUGCACCGAAGUGUCUCCUACUAAGGCAUUCUUGCCGAAGCACAUGAACCAACCCCGCAACAAGUGGGAGCCAGCCACAACACGCAACAGUCAUGUACCCUUUAACUAUUCCCAUAACUAAUCAUAUGCGACAAGUGACAACAUUAUAUUAGCUACAUUCAAACCCACAUUGGAAAAGUCAAAAAAGUUCCACCAACUUGCCUUUUUAAAAUGGUAAUCUCUACUUCCUUCUAAAGGUAAUUGUUAUUACUAUUCAAAACUAUAUUUACCAUUAAACUCUGCCACAUGGUGUUUUAAACACAUAUUGCUAACUCAAGCAUCGAAGGCUCUUAGGUCGGUACCACACUGAUACCCUUCGAUACUUAUUCUACCUUCCAUGCAAGUUGCUUCUCCCUCCUACCCUUAACAACUCGAUUUUGUGCAUCAACAUAAUUAGUUGUUUAUAAACAUAACGUUUUGAAAAGUAAGUUUAAUAACAUGUAUUCUUUUAGAAGUAUGGUGUUUUGACCAAUAUUGUAGUGUUCUUUAUUUUUGUUUGAUUGUUGGAUUGUGUUUGUUUGAAUUGAAAGUAACUGAUUGAACUGACUAUUAUGAUGUCUUCAAUUUUGUUUUGGGAAAUUUUAUUUGAACUCAUAUAACCUCUUUCUAAACCUAACUUAUUAUUUACACCCAUAUAGUUUUUAAUUAAAUUAUCAAUAUCUCUUUAAACCCAAUUUUACUACCUAAACUACCCUCACAAACCUAAUAUAAUAUGCAAAUUUAUCUUUACACCCAUUUUAAAAAUAAAAAUCCAAAAUCAAUGUUCUACAACUUGUUUUCCACAACUCGUUGAUUAAGAGUGUAAUGUCCAUACAUAUAUGGAGUCGUGUUUGAUGAAUUGGUCAAACAAGCAAUCUAGAACCGGGAAGUGAUGUGAGCAGGCAAGAUUAAAUGAAGUAAUUAACUCAUAUGUUAUGGUGUUUUUGUGCUUAUUUGAGAUUGAAAUGUUAAACCAAUAUGUUUAUUUCUCUUACAAUAUAAAUCGAGUUGGUUUUAAUCCUUGUGUGCUUUAUCUGAAUUGCAUUCCCAUUGUUUUUAUCCCAUUGCCGCUUCAUAAACAAAUGCAGUAGCGUUUUUCAAAUGCUUUAAUCUCAAGUUUUUUCCUCGGUUUUAAGAUUAGGUGUAUUGGGUGGUGGAAUUGUAAUCUGUAAAUCCAUAUUCUUAGGCAUCACUUGGGUUUUAGCCACAGUAAUUCAAAUCUGCAUGAAUUAGAAGACUCAAAAGCAUUUUAUGCAUACGCAUAAACUAGUAAUAAUAAUUAACUUAGGCUCUCCGUUGUCAUUGGAACCGGAGGUGAGUAUAUUGAUUAGUGGGUUUAUUGAUAAAUUUUAGUUUCAUUUCUGAUUUCAUCUUGUGUUUUAUGGUAAUUAUACAAUAGGGUAAAACUGAUCAUUCACAUUUUAAAUUUAAGUUGGGUGUAGAGUGAGGUUAUAUGCGUUCAAAUAAAAUUUUCCUUUUGUUUUAUCUUGGACCUAUUUCUUUACAUGUUUGUAUCGCAAUUAAUCGAUCUAUUUGGUGCUAGUGGCGCUAACAUUCAAUCUAUGUGACCUAAACCAUACGACCACUUACUAUCAUUUCAUAUUUCUAAAUUGACUCAGCAGUUGGUGCUAUUGACACAAUAUACUUGUUAGAACAACUGUGCCCGGUUUAGUUCUUUGACCAAAGUUGACAGUUUUUUUUACGGUUUAUUCGUUGUGAUUCAGUUUGGUUUCCCGAUUCACGGAUUUUUAUGCUCACUCCUAAAUACAACUAGAUAAAAAUCACACAUUAUAUGUGUGUUUAAAUACAUGAUAAUUUAAAAAAGAAAUUGAAAUAAAAAUAAAAAAAA
This 39051-nucleotide long non-coding RNA is filed under the name Malus domestica (apple). RNAcentral describes it as "long non-coding RNA (MDOM_LNC014559)". Lineage: Eukaryota; Viridiplantae; Streptophyta; Magnoliopsida; Rosales; Rosaceae. The record is from RNAcentral.